Molecule: long non-coding RNA, 403 nt
Filed under: Mytilus galloprovincialis (Mediterranean mussel)
Lineage: Eukaryota; Metazoa; Mollusca; Bivalvia; Mytilida; Mytilidae
Source: RNAcentral
AAUUCUAAUAUGACGAUCUUCUUUCGAUUUGUGAACAAACCCAUGCUCUAAAUCCAAUAAAAUUUGUUUGCACAUGUGUAUAUUGACUUCUUCAGAAUAAUGAAUUUUAUCAAAUUAUCAUGCACUUAAUAUAUUUCCUUAACUUUAAAACACUUUCAAACUCUUUAAUGGUGCACAUGAUGUUACUUAUUCAUUUAUUAUGACUGUAAUGUGUUGCAUUCCGAAAUUGACAUAUUUGACCUAGAUACGACAACCGUUCAUGCUUGUUGUUCAAACUCCUCCCUCUGAAAAAAAUCACUGUGCCGGCCGUUUGCUUAUUUACAAACAAAAAAGGGAGGUUCAUGGAAGAGCCUACACAAACGCUUUUACACUUAUACUUAUCGGACAUAGAAAUUACCUUAUU